RNAcentral lists this non-coding RNA (182 nucleotides) under Chloroflexota bacterium. RNAcentral's name for it is "Chloroflexi bacterium Lysine sequence". It matches the Rfam family "Lysine riboswitch aptamer". From Rfam's summary of the family: Riboswitches are metabolite binding domains within certain messenger RNAs that serve as precision sensors for their corresponding targets. Allosteric rearrangement of mRNA structure is mediated by ligand binding, and this results in modulation of gene expression. The record is from RNAcentral. Lineage: Bacteria; Bacillati; Chloroflexota.
GUUGCCGGCCAGAGGUGCGGGCGCUACGCGACGUCGCGGAGGAACGAGCUUCCGCUGAUGCGACGCCAGGGAGCGACCGCCGAAGUCGGAGGUCCGUUUCGGGACCUCGGGCUGGUUCGCCCACCGGAAGGAGGCGAACUGUCGCGACGGGGGAGACCCCGACGCGAAGCGCUGCCGUGUGA